GAUGAACGCUGGCGGCGUGCUUAAUACAUGCAAGUCGAGCGAACGGACGAUAAGCUUGCUUUUCUGAUGUUAGCCGCGGACGGGUGAGUAACACGUGUAUACCCCACCUAUAAUACUGGGAUAACUUCGGGAAACCGGAGCUUAUCCCGGAUAAUCUUUUGAACCGCAUGGUUCAAAAGUGAAAGACGGUCUUUCUGUCACUUAUAGAUGGAUCUGCGCUGCAUUAGCUAGUUGGUAAGGUAACGGCUUACCAAGGGAACGAUGCAUAGCCGACCUGCGAGGGUGAUCGGCCACACUGGAACUGAGACACGGUCCAGACGCCUACGGGAGGCAGCAGUAGGGUAUCGGCCGCAAUGGGCGAAAGCCUGACGGAGCAACGCCGCGUGAGUGAUGAAGGUCUUCGGAUCGUAAAACUCUGUUAUUAGGGAAGAACAUAUGUGUAAGUAACUGUGCACAUCUUGACGGUAACUAAUCAGAAAGCCACGGCUAACUACGUG
This 497-nucleotide ribosomal RNA is filed under the name uncultured bacterium. RNAcentral's name for it is "partial 16S ribosomal RNA". It matches the Rfam family "Bacterial small subunit ribosomal RNA", at positions 28 to 507 of the family's 1533-position model. The record is from RNAcentral.